CAUUCAUUGUUUCGACCCCGAGAGCAAAAAAUGGAAAAUGAAAAGAGCUGCAGCUUGAGCAGCCGCCGCUGCAUCAAAAAUGUCGUCGCCCGAGGGCCAAUUUUUCUUUCCCACACCGGAAGACUUUCAUGAAUUUCUCGCUUUUUUCUUUCUAAAUUGGGCCACCACCACUAAAACUAA
Molecule: non-coding RNA, 180 nt
Organism: Caenorhabditis elegans
Lineage: Eukaryota; Metazoa; Nematoda; Chromadorea; Rhabditida; Rhabditidae
Source: Ensembl